GAAGCAAGACCGUGAGGUGGAGGCAAAACUCAAAAACUUGUCUCAGUUCGGAUUGUAGGCUGAAACUCGCCUACAUGAAGCUGGAGUUGCUAGUAAUCGCGAAUCAGCAUGUCGCGGUGAAUACGUUCCCGGGCCUUGUACACACCGCCCGUCACACCAUGAGAGUUGGCAAUACCCAACGUACGUGAUCUAACCCGCAAGGGAGGAAGCGUCCUAAGGUAGGGUCAGCGAUUGGGGUGAAGUCGUAACAAGGUAUC
RNAcentral lists this ribosomal RNA (257 nucleotides) under uncultured bacterium. Its description in RNAcentral is "partial 16S ribosomal RNA". It matches the Rfam family "Bacterial small subunit ribosomal RNA", at positions 1246 to 1500 of the family's 1533-position model. The record is from RNAcentral.